This 502-nucleotide ribosomal RNA is filed under the name uncultured bacterium. RNAcentral describes it as "partial 16S ribosomal RNA". It matches the Rfam family "Bacterial small subunit ribosomal RNA", at positions 30 to 523 of the family's 1533-position model. The record is from RNAcentral.
AUUGAACGCUGGCGGUAUGCUUAACAUAUGCAAGUCGAACGGCAGCACGGUAUGUAGCAAUACAUAUGGGUGGCAAGUGGCGGACGGGUGAGUAACGCGUAGGAAUCUGCCCUCAAGCGGGGGACAACCCGAGGAAACUCGGGCUAAUACCGCAUAAACUCGGAAGAGAAAAGCUGGGGUAACCUGGCACUUGAGGAGGAGCCUGCGUCUGAUUAGCUAGUUGGUAGGGUAAAGGCCUACCAAGGCGAUGAUCAGUAGCUGGUCUGAGAGGAUGACCAGCCAAACUGGAACUGAGACACGGUCCAGACUACUACGGGAGGCAGCAGUGGGGAAUAUUGGACAAUGGGGGAAACCCUGAUCCAGCAAUACCGCGUGUGUGAAGAAGGCCUUCGGGUUGUAAAGCACUUUAGUUGGGGAGGAAGGUUAGCAGUUUAAGAGAUGGCUAAUUUGACUGUACCCAAAGAAUAAGCACCGGCUAACUCUGUGCCAGCCGCCGCAGUAA